Molecule: unclassified non-coding RNA, 281 nt
Filed under: plant metagenome
Description: partial contains 5.8S ribosomal RNA and internal transcribed spacer 2
Rfam family: 5.8S ribosomal RNA (bases 1-107)
Source: RNAcentral
GAAAUGCGAUACCUGGUGUGAAUUGCAGAAUCCCGCGAACCAUCGAGUCUUUGAACGCAAGUUGCGCCCGAGGCCACUCGGCCGAGGGCACGCCUGCCUGGGCGUCACGCCAAAACACGCUCCCAACCACUCUCAACGGGAAUCGGGAUGCGGCAUCUGGUCCCUCGUCUCUCAAGGGACGGUGGACCGAAGAUUGGGCUGCCGGUGUACCGCGCCGUACACAGCGCAUGGUGGGCGUCCCCGCUUUAUCAAUGCAGUGCAUCCGGCGCGCAGCUGGCAUU